Molecule: long non-coding RNA, 620 nt
Filed under: Mytilus galloprovincialis (Mediterranean mussel)
Lineage: Eukaryota; Metazoa; Mollusca; Bivalvia; Mytilida; Mytilidae
Source: RNAcentral
UGUACUUUGAAUUGAAUGAAGGAUAUUCAAUAUUCAUUUUGGAAGCAUUGCAAAUAGGUAUUGAUAAACUAUUUGUUUAUAAGUUAUUAAAUUGAUUUGCACCAGAAAAGAAAAUACUCAUAUAACAAAUGUUUAUUGACAGACUAUAUUUCUAAUUUAUAGAAUUAUGAAAAUGAUUUGUAUCUGAAAUCAAUACUCACUUUGUGCGUGCAUAGUUUUUAACAACAACUGAGUGAACAGUAGAAUGUAUUCUUUUCAAAGGCAAUGGACCUAUAUAUUUAUAUGGAUAUGGAUAGACAAUACAAAGGAGAAAUUCAAAACGCAAAAGUCAAAGAAAAACUGACAACUCCAUGGCAAAACAUAAAAAAAUAAGACAACCAAAUCCACAACAAUUCAAAAGACUAAACAUAUAGCAAUCAUUAAUUACACUUGCAUUUGAAGUAGAUAACUCAGAUUUUUGCAUGAACAUUUUCAUAUACAUCUACCCAUACUUAUUUAUUUUAAGUGAUAGAGUGCUUUCUCCUCAUUUUUUAUGAUCUAAUUAAGAAUUUGGCAUUUUGGUAGCAAGAUUUGAUAUUAUGUUAACACUUUAACAGUUGUUAGACAGUAUUUUAGUUGUU